Molecule: ribosomal RNA, 301 nt
Filed under: uncultured bacterium
Lineage: Bacteria
Description: partial 16S ribosomal RNA
Rfam family: Bacterial small subunit ribosomal RNA
Source: RNAcentral
CAGCAGCCGCGGUAAUACGGAGGGUGCAAGCGUUAAUCGGAAUUACUGGGCGUAAAGCGCACGCAGGCGGUUUGUUAAGUCAGAUGUGAAAUCCCCGAGCUUAACUUGGGAACUGCAUUUGAAACUGGCAAGCUAGAGUCUUGUAGAGGGGGGUAGAAUUCCAGGUGUAGCGGUGAAAUGCGUAGAGAUCUGGAGGAAUACCGGUGGCGGAGGCGGCCCCCUGGACAAAGACUGACGCUCAGGUGCGAAAGCGUGGGGAGCAAACAGGAUUAGAUACCCGUGUAGUCCCUGUCUCUUAUAC